UACGGAGGGUGCGAGCGUUGUCCGGAAUCAUUGGGCGUAAAGGGCGCGUAGGUGGCCCGGUGAGUCUUUGGUGAAAGCGCGGGGCUCAACCCUGCGUCGGCCAGGGAUACUGCCGCGGCUCGAGCACUGUAGAGGCAGGCGGAAUUCCGGGUGUAGCGGUGGAAUGCGUAGAGAUCCGGAAGAACACCGGUGGCGAAGGCGGCCUGCUGGGCAGUGGCUGACGCUGAGGCGCGACAGCGUGGGGGAGCAAACAGG
This 255-nucleotide ribosomal RNA is filed under the name uncultured bacterium. Its description in RNAcentral is "partial 16S ribosomal RNA". It matches the Rfam family "Bacterial small subunit ribosomal RNA", at positions 524 to 776 of the family's 1533-position model. The record is from RNAcentral.